This is a non-coding RNA of Erythranthe guttata (spotted monkey flower), 385 nucleotides long. The record is from RefSeq and is a predicted model, not a curated record. NCBI's taxonomy places the organism in Eukaryota, Viridiplantae, Streptophyta, Magnoliopsida, Lamiales, Phrymaceae.
GAUUCUAUAGGUAUUAACCCAACUCAUAAGUCCAAUUUUGCUAGAACACCCUACAAUUAAUUAUGGCCAAUAUACCCUUAAAUAAAAUAGGAAAUUUUUAAUUUUAAAUCAAUAAAUAGCAAAUUUAUUCCCCGUCAACCCAUCUAGCAAAAAUAGGGCCGCGAUUAUCUCGAUCGUUGAAUCUCUCCUAGAAACAAAAAAAUUCUCUCCCUUUUUAUGCGAAACAAAUACUGUAAUCCUAGAAAAAAUCGUGAAAUUGAUUUUUCUAAUAUAUCGUUGUUCUCGACGUCUCGUAGAUGUAAAUCUCAAAAAAAAAACGAGAGACAAUGAUUAAAGAUGGAAAAAGUACAGUUUACUGUCGCUACAACUAUAGGCCAGAAGAAAA